This 492-nucleotide ribosomal RNA is filed under the name uncultured bacterium. Its description in RNAcentral is "partial 16S ribosomal RNA". It matches the Rfam family "Bacterial small subunit ribosomal RNA", at positions 29 to 507 of the family's 1533-position model. The record is from RNAcentral.
AGUGAACGCUGGCGGUAGGCCUAACACAUGCAAGUCGAACGGCAGCACAGUAAGAGCUUGCUCUUACGUGUGUCGAGUGUCGGACGGGUGCGUAAUACAUCGGAAUCUACUUUUUAGUGGGGGAUAACGUAGGAAAACUUACUCUAAUACCGCAUACGACCUACGGGUGGAAGCAGGGGAUCUUCGGACCUUGCGCUAUUGAAUGAGCCGAUGUCGGAUUAGCUAGUUGGCGGGGUAAAGGCCCACCAAGGCGACGAUCCGUAGCUGUUCUGAGAGGAUGAUCAGCCACACUGGAACUGAGACACGGUCCAGACUCCUGAGGGAGGCAGCAGUGGGGAAUAUUGGAGAAAGGACGCAAGCCUGAUCCAGCCCUACCGCGUGGGUGAAGAAGGCCUUCUGGUUGUAAAGCCAUUUUGUUGGGAAAGAAAAGCAGCAGGUUAAUACCCCGCUGUUCUGACGGUACCCAAAGAAUAAGCACCGGCUAACUUCGUG